This is a long non-coding RNA of Artibeus jamaicensis (Jamaican fruit-eating bat), 610 nucleotides long. RefSeq lists it as uncharacterized. The record is from RefSeq and is a predicted model, not a curated record. NCBI's taxonomy places the organism in Eukaryota, Metazoa, Chordata, Mammalia, Chiroptera, Phyllostomidae. The transcript is spliced from 4 exons.
GUAAGGACGAUACUUCGGUAGGUGAAUGGAUAAACUGUCACAUAUCCAGACAAUGGAAUGUUAUUCAGCACUAAAAAGAAGUGAGCUAUCAAGUCACGAAAAGACACAGAGGAACUUUAAAUGCCUUGUGCUGUGUGGAAAAAGCUGAUCUGAAAGGAAUGAAGCGCACGCUACAGUGUGGAUGAGCCGUGGAAACAGUAUGCCAGGUAAAGAAGCCGGCCCCGGAAGACCACGCAGUGUAUGAGUCCACCUACAGGAGGCGUCCGGACAGGCAAAUCCACAGAUAUUCUGGAGCCUCAGAAUGAAGAUGAUAUAUGGUGUCAGAUGGGGACCAGACCUGCUGGUGUGAUCACUUCGUAAGUUCACACAGGCAGAGAAGACACAGCUAUGUUGCCUCUUCUUACAGUGAUAAACCCACAUGACACUACAAAAAUGAAGAACCAAAAGAGGGAAUUAGCCAACAGAGACGAAAGUGCAGCUAAGAAACAAAAAGUGAUGACGCUGGAGUGAAAUUCUAACCAACUGUAAGUGUAGCUACAGAAGAAACAGCUGCCUGUGGGAAUGUUGCUGGUGCUGCCACUGGGGGGACUCUGGGUGCACAGUCAGAGUG